Molecule: ribosomal RNA, 440 nt
Filed under: uncultured bacterium
Lineage: Bacteria
Description: partial 16S ribosomal RNA
Rfam family: Bacterial small subunit ribosomal RNA
Source: RNAcentral
CCUACGGGAGGCAGCAGUAGGGAAUAUUGCUCAAUGGGGGAAACCCUGAAGCAGCAACGCCGCGUGGAGGAUGAAGGUUUUCGGAUUUUUAACUCCUUUUUUUAGAGAAGAUAAUGACGGUAUCUAACGAGUAAGCACCGGCUAACUCCGUGCCAGCAGCCGCGGUAAUACGGGGGGUGCAAGCGUUACUCGGAAUCACUGGGCGUAAAGAGCGCGUAGGCGGGAUAGCAAGGCAGAUGUGAAAUCCUAUGGCUUAACCAUAGAACUGCAUUUGAAACUGUUGUUCUAGAGUAUGGGAGAGGUAGGUGGAAUGCUUGGUGUAGGGGUAAAAUGCGUAGAGAUCAAGAGGAAUACUCAUUGCGAAGGCGACCUGCUAGAGCAUAACUGACGCUGAUGCGCGAAAGCGUGGGGAUCAAACAGGAUUAGAUACCCCAGUAGUC